CGCCCUCGCCGUCACUCCCUUCCCCGGCGACCUCAUGUUCGUCAAGCCCCCGCGCCACCCCGCCGGAAAUUCCUGCUCGCGGCGGUCUUGCCUUCCGCCUUCUUCCGCCAACUCUCCACUUCCCUUCCCCAACCUCCCGCGAGUUUUGUCCCUGAAUCGCGCAAUGGCGCCAUGGCCGCCCAUAUGUCGUUGACCUCCGCCCCGGCGAGCCGCCUAUAGCUGUUGCGGAAGAGUAGGAAAACAACGGCGGGGAGGAGAAAGAGUUCAAGCUCGAUCUUGAAGACUCGAACUCCGCGUCGAGAUCUGACAUCCCAGCAUCCCGCCUUGCUCAACCCCGUCUGCCCCUGCCACUGGAGCGCCAUCCUACUCUUCCACAUCUCGGCGGCAAGCUGGAGCUCCUCGAUCUGGGGGAGGAUGCAAGGGCCGCAACGCCGCGCCACACUUUGUUUUUCCCAGCGCGCGCCAUGGCGCCCAUUGUCCCCGCCUUGCGCUGGCUCCCGAUCGAGAACAGCAGCGCUACAGCCAUGCCCGUGCACGCAAGCAGGCCAGCAGGCUACCUUUUCCUCUCAUGUGUAUCAGAAGAUGGAUGUAACUAUAUUAAUUUCUUUCUCUACUUUGGAUGUAAUUUUUAUCAUUUUCUACAUCUAGAAUUUUUAGUAGAUCAAGGUGUAAAUCACUAAUAUAUUUGUGAUCCUAGUAUUUGUGACUUUGGAUGUAAUUUUAAACAUUUUCUACAUCCAGAACUUUGAAUACAUCAAGGUGUAAAUCACUAAUAUUUCUGUGGUCCCAAUAUUUGUGAC
This is a long non-coding RNA of Lolium rigidum, 800 nucleotides long. RefSeq lists it as uncharacterized. NCBI's taxonomy places the organism in Eukaryota, Viridiplantae, Streptophyta, Magnoliopsida, Poales, Poaceae. The record is from RefSeq and is a predicted model, not a curated record. The transcript has 2 exons.